RNAcentral lists this ribosomal RNA (518 nucleotides) under uncultured bacterium. RNAcentral describes it as "bacterial SSU rRNA". It matches the Rfam family "Bacterial small subunit ribosomal RNA", at positions 40 to 526 of the family's 1533-position model. The record is from RNAcentral.
CGGCGUGCCUAAUACAUGCAAGUCGAACGAGAAUUUUUUACACCGAGUGCUUGCACUCACCGUAAGAAAUUCGAGUGGCGGACGAGUGAGUAACACGUGGGUAACCUGCCCAAAAGAAGGGGAUAACAUUUGGAAACAAAUGCUAAUACCGUAUAACCAUGAUGACCGCAUGGCCAUUAUGUAAAAGGUGGUUUUGCUAUCGCUUUUGGAUGGACCCGCGGCGUAUUAACUAGUUGGUAGGGUAACGGCCUACCAAGGUGAUGAUACGUAGCCGAGUUGAGAGACUGAUCGGCCACAAUGGGACUGAGACACGGCCCAUACUCCUACGGGAGGCAGCAGUAGGGAAUCUUCCACAAUGGGCGCAAGCCUGAUGGAGCAACGCCGCGUGAAUGAAGAAGGUCUUCGGAUCGUAAAAUUCUGUUGUUAGAGAAGAAUAUGAGUAAUAGUAACUGAUUAUUCACUGACGGUAUCUAACCAGCAAGUCACGGCUAACUACGUGCCAGCCGCCGCGGUAAUUC